UGAGUUUGAUCAUGGCUCAGGACGAACGCUGGCGGCGUGCUUAACACAUGCAAGUCGAACGGAAAGGCCCUGCUUUUGUGGGGUGCUCGAGUGGCGAACGGGUGAGUAACACGUGAGUAACCUGCCCUUGACUUUGGGAUAACUUCAGGAAACUGGGGCUAAUACCGGAUAGGAGCUCCUGCUGCAUGGUGGGGGUUGGAAAGUUUCGGCGGUUGGGGAUGGACUCGCGGCUUAUCAGCUUGUUGGUGGGGUAGUGGCUUACCAAGGCUUUGACGGGUAGCCGGCCUGAGAGGGUGACCGGCCACAUUGGGACUGAGAUACGGCCCAGACUCCUACGGGAGGCAGCAGUGGGGAAUAUUGCACAAUGGGCGGAAGCCUGAUGCAGCAACGCCGCGUGCGGGAUGACGGCCUUCGGGUUGUAAACCGCUUUCGCCUGUGACGAAGCGUGAGUGACGGUAACGGGUAAAGAAGCACCGGCUAACUACGUGCCAGCAGCCGCGGUGAUACGUAGGGUGCGAGCGUUGUCCGGAUUUAUUGGGCGUAAAGGGCUCGUAGGUGGUUGAUCGCGUCGGAAGUGUAAUCUUGGGGCUUAACCCUGAGCGUGCUUUCGAUACGGGUUGACUUGAGGAAGGUAGGGGAGAAUGGAAUUCCUGGUGGAGCGGUGGAAUGCGCAGAUAUCAGGAGGAACACCAGUGGCGAAGGCGGUUCUCUGGGCCUUUCCUGACGCUGAGGAGCGAAAGCGUGGGGAGCGAACAGGCUUAGAUACCCUGGUAGUCCACGCUGUAAACGGUGGGUACUAGGUGUGGGGUCCAUUCCACGGGUUCCGUGCCGNAGCUAACGCUUUAAGUACCCCGCCUGGGGAGUACGGCCGCAAGGCUAAAACUCAAAGGAAUUGACGGGGCCCCGCACAAGCGGCGGAGCAUGCGGAUUAAUUCGAUGCAACGCGUAGAACCUUACCUGGGUUUGACAUGGAUCGGGAGCGCUCAGAGAUGGGUGUGCCUCUUUUGGGGUCGGUUCACAGGUGGUGCAUGGCUGUCGUCAGCUCGUGUCGUGAGAUGUUGGGUUAAGUCCCGCAACGAGCGCAACCCUUAAGCUUAGUUGCCAUCAUUAAGUUGGGCACUCUAAGUUGACUGCCGGUGACAAACCGGAGGAAGGUGGGGAUGACGUCAAAUCAUCAUGCCCCUUAUGUCUAGGGCUACACACGUGCUACAAUGGCCGGUACAGAAAGACGCGAUACCGCGAGGUGGAGCAAAACUUUAAAACCGGUCUCAGUUCGGAUUGUAGGCUGAAACUCGCCUACAUGAAGCUGGAGUUACUAGUAAUCGCGAAUCAGCAUGUCGCGGUGAAUACGUUCCCGGGCCUUGUACACACCGCCCGUCACACCAUGAGAGUUGGCAAUACCCAAAGUUCGUGAGCUAACCGCAAGGAGGCAGCGACCUAAGGUAGGGUCAG
Molecule: ribosomal RNA, 1452 nt
Filed under: uncultured bacterium
Lineage: Bacteria
Description: bacterial SSU rRNA
Rfam family: Bacterial small subunit ribosomal RNA
Source: RNAcentral